UCCUGGUUAGCUCAGUUGGUAGAGUGCUCCACUUGAAAUGGACAUGACCCUGGUUCGAUACCAGGACCAGGCG
Molecule: non-coding RNA, 73 nt
Organism: Ixodes scapularis (black-legged tick)
Lineage: Eukaryota; Metazoa; Arthropoda; Arachnida; Ixodida; Ixodidae
Source: Rfam